RNAcentral lists this ribosomal RNA (341 nucleotides) under Nematoda environmental sample. RNAcentral's name for it is "SSU rRNA". It matches the Rfam family "Eukaryotic small subunit ribosomal RNA", at positions 1300 to 1665 of the family's 1831-position model. Lineage: Eukaryota; Metazoa; Nematoda. The record is from RNAcentral.
CGUGGAGCGAUUUGUCUGGUUUAUUCCGAUAACGAGCGAGACUCUAGCCUACUAACUAGUCCACACAUUGCCACUGUGUCGUGUGACUUCUUAGAGGGAUUUUCGGUGUUCAGCCGCACGAGAUUGAGCAAUAACAGGUCUGUGAUGCCCUUAGAUGUCCGGGGCUGCACGCGCGCUACACUGGCGAAAUCAGCGUGCUUGUCCUUUCUCGAAAGAGAUUGGUAAACCAUUGAAAAUUUGCCGUGAUUGGGAUCGGAAAUUGCAAUUAUUUUCCGUGAACGAGGAAUUCCAAGUAAGUGCGAGUCAUCAACUCGCGUUGAAUACGUCCCUGCCCUUUGUAC